This 1228-nucleotide long non-coding RNA is filed under the name Mus musculus (house mouse). RNAcentral's name for it is "predicted gene, 48646". The record is from RNAcentral. Lineage: Eukaryota; Metazoa; Chordata; Mammalia; Rodentia; Muridae.
GGGAGUUCAGACGGUGCCUUACCCAGAAACUCAGUUGUUUGCUGCAAAAGGAGUAAAGGGGUAGCUGAGACAUGGAUUGGAAAACACAGGCCUGUCAUUGUCUUAGUUGGGAUUUCUACUGCUGUGAGGAGACACCGUGACCACCACUAGUCUUUCAAAGGAAAUAUUUAAUUGGGGAUAGCUUACAGUUUAGAGGCUCAGUUCUUUAUCGUCCUGGUUAGAAGCAUGGCAGCAUGCAGACAGACGUGGUGCUGGAGAAGGAGCUGAGAGUUCUACAUCAGGUUCUUCAGGUAGCAGGAAGACAGAGCCACUGGGCCUAGGCUUGAGCUUCUAAGACCUCAAAGCCCAACCCCUAGUGACACACCUCCUCUGGGUAGGCCACACUUCCCAUAGUGCUACGGGGCCAUUUUCGUUUAAAGUCCUACAGUUAUUAUAGCUAUCAAAGUACUGUAGUCAUUAGAAUCUGCAGAGAUGGAAUGUGUUUGAGAAACGUGGGGUGGGUUUGUGCACUGAGGGUUGAAAUGAGUCUGCUGAGGUUUGUUUGGUGUUUGUGCAUGCUGAGGUUUCAAGUGUGAAGUCUGCUGGGAUGUGUCCAGUGAGGAGUGCAGGGAGAGGAGGGUGGCAGGUUGAAGAGAGAGCAGAGCCAGUUAGUGCAGGAGUUGUUGGAAAUUUCACUAAAGGGAAGGAAGAGGAGGUGGUGUCUGGAAGGCAGGAAAAGGCACAGCUGUUUGAAUUCUUUGUAAAUUCAGGUAAAUGCCAGUAUUGGUGGGAAGGAGUUAGGAAGUAAGGAGUCAAGACAAAGGAAAGGCUGGUAACUGAUUGGUAGGCGAAAGGGAGGAGAAUCCUUUGUGAGAAAGCAAGGUGGGAACUGCAGGUCCUGACAGCUCUGGGGGCGGAGCCUGUCUGUCAACACUGUGUCCACUGCUGGGCACGAGAGGUGCUCACCUCUGCAUGGAACAUAGUGGAUGAAAUACUUGGAAGGAGAGAUGGCUAGCCUAGAAACAAGGGAUCUAGAUGAUAGAAUAGAGAUCAGUCGGGCUCUGUAUUAGUUACUUUUCUGUUGCUGUGAUAAAACACCAUGACAGAAAGCAUCUUAAGGAAGAAAGGGUUGUUUUGAAACAGUUCAAUAGGACAAGUGAAAUGAACAAACUGAAGUCAUUGGGAAGUGGUUGCAAUGACGAGUUACGAAAUCCACCUUGGAUGGAGGGGUAAGAAAAUAGGUUAGAAA